AUGUCAUCUAUCAAACUGGUGUUGGUGUGUUGGAAUGUGCGCGGCUUGAAUAGCCCGACGAAGAAGAAGGCGCUAUGUGAAUUUGCGGACUCGGCGCACCCGGCUAUUUUUUGUAUCCAGGAGACUAAGCUAGCUUGUAUUAACACAUUUACGGUUAUGCAAUGCCUUGGUCCAUCGUAUGAUGGGUUUUACUUCUUGCCGGCUUCGGACACGAGGGAUGGGAUUCUUUUAGCUUGGAACUCGGUGUUGGUAAACAUUUCGGACUAUGUCAGAGACACGCAUUGCAUCACAAGGUAUGUUUCUCCGAUUGAUGGUACGCCUUGGUGGCUCACAAUGGUCUAUGGACCACAGGAGGAUCAGGAGAAGACGUUGUUCCUUGAGGAGCUAGCAUCUAGGAGGGAGCUGUGUCCAGGUGCUUGGAUGGUGAUCAGCGACUUUAACAUGAUACUCCAAGCACUACAAAAAAAAAGACACAUCUGUGACAUUUUGGGCCGAACGAAUUUUUUUCCUGUCAUAUAUAUGACACUUCUAUGA
This 534-nucleotide ribosomal RNA is filed under the name Triticum aestivum (bread wheat). Its description in RNAcentral is "partial small subunit ribosomal RNA". The record is from RNAcentral. Lineage: Eukaryota; Viridiplantae; Streptophyta; Magnoliopsida; Poales; Poaceae.